AAGGCUAUGGCUCAAUGGUAGAGUGCCUGCCUAUCAUGCAGAAGACCCUGAGUUUGCUCUGCAGCAUUG
This 69-nucleotide transfer RNA is filed under the name Heterocephalus glaber (naked mole-rat). It matches the Rfam family "tRNA". Rfam says of the family: Transfer RNA (tRNA) molecules are approximately 80 nucleotides in length. Their secondary structure includes four short double-helical elements and three loops (D, anti-codon, and T loops). Lineage: Eukaryota; Metazoa; Chordata; Mammalia; Rodentia; Bathyergidae. The record is from Rfam by way of RNAcentral.